UGAGGUGACUGUGACUUAGUGGGAAGAGAGGUUGUCUUACAAUCUAAAAGUUGUGGGUUCAAUUCCAGCUUCCUCAA
This is a non-coding RNA of Ataeniobius toweri, 77 nucleotides long. Lineage: Eukaryota; Metazoa; Chordata; Actinopteri; Cyprinodontiformes; Goodeidae. The record is from the annotation of a GenBank genome assembly.